UGUCUGAAUGAUUGAGACCUUGAUACAUGA
RNAcentral lists this non-coding RNA (30 nucleotides) under Rattus norvegicus (Norway rat). Lineage: Eukaryota; Metazoa; Chordata; Mammalia; Rodentia; Muridae. The record is from RNAcentral.